GAGAGAUGGCUCCCACGUCCAAGGAUGGCAGCAGGCGCGAAAAUUGUCCACUCUUUGUUGAGGAGACAGUUAUGAGGCGUGAUUGUAAGAGCGAAGAGUAAACAUCUUUGUGUAAUGCAACUAGAGGGCAAGUUUUGGUGCCAGCAGCCGCGGUAACUCCAACUCUAGAAGUGCCUAUUGUGGAUGCUGCAGUUAAAAAGUCCGUAGUCGUUGAUGCAAUUAAAAGGUGUAGAUCAAGUGCACCAAGUUUGUUAGUUGUGGCGGAGCGGACAGGGAGCAUGGUAUAGGUUGGCGAAGAAUGAAAUCUCAAGACCCAACCUGGACCAACUGAGGCGAAAGCGGUGCUCUUGUACGCGUCUGUGGAUCAAGGACGAAGGCUAGAGGAUCGAAAGUGAUUAGACACCGCUGUAGUUCUAGCAGUAAACUAUGCCGACAUUCUCUGUUGUUGAGACGGGGAGGGGAGAAAUCUUAGUUUUCGGGCUCUGGGGAUAGUACGCUUGCAAGAGUGAAACUUAAAGCGAAAUUGACGGAAGAUCACCACAAGGAGUGGAUUGUACUGCUUAAUUUGACUCAACACGGGAAAACUUACCAGGGCCAAGUCUCUCGUAGAUUGGCGACAUGAGAGGGGCAAGAGUGGUGCAUGGCCGUUGGAAAUUGAUGGGAUGACCUUUAGCUUAAGUGCUGUAACCAGUGAGAUCUUCUAGACAGGUGUCUUACUGACACAGGAAGGAGAAGGCUAUAACAGGUCCGUGAUGCCCUCAGAUGCCCUGGGCCGCAAGUGCAAUACAAUAUCCGUUUGAGCGACAUAAAUAUGCUUACGGAUGAGUAGGAUUAGCUCUUGUAAAUGAGCUAUGAAUGAGGAAUUCCUAGUAACUGUGUCUCAUCAAGGCACAGUGAAUGCGUCCCUGUUCUUUGUACACACCGCCCGUCACUAUUGCGGAUGGCAAUCAAGAUGAAGAGCCUAGGU
This 967-nucleotide ribosomal RNA is filed under the name Paranucleospora theridion. RNAcentral's name for it is "SSU rRNA". It matches the Rfam family "Microsporidia small subunit ribosomal RNA", at positions 257 to 1237 of the family's 1311-position model. The record is from RNAcentral. Lineage: Eukaryota; Fungi; Microsporidia; Enterocytozoonidae.